GGGGCCGUAGCUCAGUAGGAUAGAGCAAGCGCCUCCUAAGCGCUGUGCCGGCAGUUCGAUUCUGCCCGGUCCCG
This 74-nucleotide transfer RNA is filed under the name Geminocystis sp. RNAcentral describes it as "tRNA-Arg". It matches the Rfam family "tRNA". Rfam says of the family: Transfer RNA (tRNA) molecules are approximately 80 nucleotides in length. Their secondary structure includes four short double-helical elements and three loops (D, anti-codon, and T loops). RNAcentral also lists the same sequence under 2 other names. Lineage: Bacteria; Bacillati; Cyanobacteriota; Cyanophyceae; Chroococcales; Geminocystaceae. The record is from RNAcentral.